Molecule: long non-coding RNA, 840 nt
Organism: Centrocercus urophasianus (Greater sage-grouse)
Lineage: Eukaryota; Metazoa; Chordata; Aves; Galliformes; Phasianidae
Exons: 3
Source: RefSeq, a predicted model, not a curated record
CGUGCGGCCCCAAAUCCCCCACGGCUGCGGGAGGAGGCGGAACCGCCCCGUUCCUCCGCUCGUGGUUGUGCAAAGGCGGCGCUGACGGCCGAACGCGUCGCGUUUUCUUAAUUUGCACUAUUAGUAGAAGUGGAGAAGUGAAACAUGGCUGUGACAAAGGGAGGGGAAAGCCGGCACCGCAGAUUCCUGCUUUCGGGCCGACGUCACCCGGUCCUCGUGGAUCACGGCGGGGAGUUUCCCAGCUGGCAGCGAGGGCUAUAAGACGCUGGUAGGGAUGGGGUGCGGCCGCACAGAUCGCAUAUGGGCACAUCGACCUUCGCGAUGUGGAGAGCUCUGCUGUGCAUCCACGCUGUCCUGUCUGCGACCCCGCACAAGGCAGGAUUGAUUUCAUCUUCGUCUCAUAGCAGCCGACUCCAGGGAUUCCACACCCAGGAAGCGCCUACGAACAAUGGUCAUCUCAUUGAGAAGGUCUGCUUCCAUGGGUAGAGCCCACAGCCCAGCUGGGAGAGCCAGAACAGCGACUUUGCUGACACUUCCUCGCUCCCCCUUUGCACCACCGCUCCUCAGCGGCUCCAGGAGACAGAAAGAGGUUGGUGAGAGUUGGCUGCAAUGUCAUCUGCAGCCCAGCUGGUGUGGGACACUCGACGGGAGGGGAAAGGAGCUCUGCUCUUCAGCUUCUCGUCGUGGUGUUUCAUGGUUGGGAGGCACCAAACUCCCGUAAAAACACUGUCCCUGUUUGCUCUGCUUUGCACUUCUCACGGGACAGAAAGUUUGGUAUUUCUGUACACUGCUUACUGUCUGUCUUAUUCAAAGCAACAAAAAUAAACACCAUUAAGUCUG